RNAcentral lists this ribosomal RNA (446 nucleotides) under uncultured bacterium. Its description in RNAcentral is "partial 16S ribosomal RNA". It matches the Rfam family "Bacterial small subunit ribosomal RNA", at positions 338 to 795 of the family's 1533-position model. The record is from RNAcentral.
CCUACGGGUGGCUGCAGUCGAGAAUCAUUCACAAUGGGGGAAACCCUGAUGGUGCGACGCCGCGUGGGGGAAUGAAGGUCUUCGGAUUGUAAACCCCUGUCAUGUGGGAGCAAAUUAAAAAGAUAGUACCACAAGAGGAAGAGACGGCUAACUCUGUGCCAGCAGCCGCGGUAAUACAGAGGUCUCAAGCGUUGUUCGGAAUCACUGGGCGUAAAGCGUGCGUAGGCUGUUUCGUAAGUCGUGUGUGAAAGGCGCGGGCUCAACCCGCGGACGGCACAUGAUACUGCGAGACUAGAGUAAGGGAGGGGGAACCGGAAUUCUCGGUGUAGCAGUGAAAUGCGUAGAUAUCGAGAGGAACACUCGUGGCGAAGGCGGGUUCCUGGACAUUAACUGACGCUGAGGCACGAAGGCUAGGGGAGCGAAAGGGAUUAGAUACCCGUGUAGUC